This is a non-coding RNA of Zonotrichia albicollis (white-throated sparrow), 7744 nucleotides long. NCBI's taxonomy places the organism in Eukaryota, Metazoa, Chordata, Aves, Passeriformes, Passerellidae. The record is from RefSeq and is a predicted model, not a curated record.
CCCCCAUCUCCCUCUCUCUCCCAGCUCGCCUUGCCUUGCAGAUCAGUCUCUCCGCGGCUCGGUCUUUCUGCAUAGGCAAUCACAGCUCCUACUUGCAGACUCAACUCUCCCUCUCGCACUGAUUGCAAUGCAUUUUCUGCCUGAAUGUAGGUCGCUUACAACCGAGAACACGAGUUUCCUUCAAAUCCACUGUUGCUGUCUUUCUUCUUGUUAUUUUUAAUUUUUCCCCCCUUUCGUGGUCGUUGCAUUCCUUUGGAGAAGCCAAUCGCUUUGGAUUCCAAAAAGGGGAGCAGGAACCGUAUGUGAAUAAUCCUGGCUGCAUGAUAGCCCGAGAGGAUUUCCUGAAAGAUUCUGGCUGUGUAAAAAAGACCCCUAUGCUUCUUCAGCUAUCCCAGUGUUAAGGAAAAUUUUCUGCUGUAACUAAAAUGACAUCAUGCUGCCUCCAGUGGGGGAAUGCUGAAGCCUUCUCAAAAAUACAACACAGUGGCUGACUGAGUGGGCUGGACUUCACUGAGAGGAGCCAUUUCACUGGGGCAGUGGAAUAACUGUGGAUCUCUCGCCACUCCAGUUGUCGGGAAGUGCUGUGUGUUGCCAGGAUUAAUUCAACACUGAAGUCUGGGAUGGGCCUUAGGGGCAAACACUCCCUUGGUUCUUCUGACAUUGGGAUUUGUCUACAGCCAGUCAGCUGAGGCACCUACUACACAUCAACUUUUGUUUUUUUUGUUGUCUGAACAAAGAUACAUUUUCCCUCGCUUCAUCUCCUUUUGACUACUUUUUUUAUUAGUUUUCAUUUUCCUUGACUGAAUAAUUUCUCCUGGCUGUGGAAAAAAGAGCCCUGCUGAUGUUGAUUUAAAUAAUGUCGAAACCAAUGGGACUCCUAUGGCUGCCUUUGAUCUUCACACCAGUGUGUGUCAUGUUGAAUUCUAACUUCCUCCUGUGGAUAACUGCACUGGCUAUAAGAUUUACUCUCAUUGAUGGCCAAGCACAAUACCCAGUUGUUACAACGAAUUAUGGCAAAAUACGUGGGUUAAGAACACCUUUGCCUAAUGAGAUCCUUGGUCCAGUGGAGCAGUACUUGGGUGUUCCUUAUGCUUCCCCUCCAACGGGAGAAAGGCGGUUCCAGCCGCCGGAGCCGCCGUCGUCCUGGACGGGUGUCCGCAACGCCACGCAGUUUGCCGCUGUGUGCCCGCAGUACCUGGAUGAGAGGUCACUGCUCAACGACAUGCUGCCAGUGUGGUUUACAGCCAAUCUGGAUACUGUGGUGACAUAUGUUCAAGAUCAAAAUGAAGACUGUCUGUAUUUGAAUAUCUAUGUGCCCACAGAGGAUGGAGCCAACACAAAGAAAAGCGCAGAUGAUAUAACCAGUAAUGAUCGUGGUGAAGAUGAAGACAUUCAUGAUCAGAACAGCAAGAAACCUGUUAUGGUCUACAUCCAUGGUGGAUCUUACAUGGAGGGUACUGGAAAUAUGAUUGAUGGCAGCAUUCUCGCAAGUUAUGGAAAUGUCAUUGUUAUCACUAUCAAUUACAGGCUGGGGGUUUUAGGUUUUUUAAGUACUGGGGACCAAGCUGCAAAAGGCAAUUAUGGAUUGCUUGACCAAAUCCAAGCUUUACGUUGGAUUGAAGAAAAUAUUGGAUCUUUUGGAGGAGACCCGAAGAGAGUUACUAUUUUUGGAUCUGGGGCAGGAGCUUCCUGUGUCAGUCUCCUGACACUUUCCCACUAUUCAGAAGGUUUGUUCCAAAAGGCAAUCAUACAGAGUGGAACAGCCCUGUCCAGCUGGGCAGUGAACUAUCAGCCUGCCAAGUACACUCGGAUAUUGGCAGAUAAAGUGGGCUGCGACAUGCUGGAUACCACUGAUUUGGUUGAAUGUCUGCGGAAUAAGAAUUACAAAGAACUCAUUCAACAGACUAUCACUCCAGCCACGUACCACAUUGCCUUUGGGCCUGUGAUAGAUGGAGACGUGAUUCCAGAUGACCCUCAGAUUCUAAUGGAGCAAGGGGAAUUCCUUAACUAUGAUAUAAUGCUGGGUGUGAAUCAAGGGGAAGGUUUGAAAUUUGUGGAUGGCAUUGUAGACAAUGAAGAUGGUGUUUCUCCCAAUGAUUUUGACUUUUCUGUCUCCAAUUUUGUGGACAAUCUCUAUGGCUAUCCAGAAGGGAAGGACACACUGCGAGAGACCAUUAAAUUCAUGUACACUGACUGGGCAGACAAAGAAAAUCCCGAAACAAGACGGAAGACCCUGGUUGCUCUUUUUACAGACCACCAAUGGGUUGCUCCAGCUGUUGCCACGGCUGACCUGCAUGCCCAGUAUGGAUCUCCAACAUAUUUCUAUGCAUUUUAUCACCAUUGCCAAAGUGAAAUGAAACCCAGCUGGGCUGAUUCAGCUCAUGGUGAUGAAGUCCCUUAUGUGUUUGGGAUUCCUAUGAUUGGUCCCACAGAACUGUUCAACUGCAACUUUUCCAAGAAUGAUGUCAUGCUUAGUGCAGUGGUUAUGACAUACUGGACUAACUUUGCCAAAACUGGAGAUCCAAACCAGCCUGUUCCACAGGACACAAAGUUCAUCCACACAAAACCCAACCGCUUUGAAGAAGUAGCCUGGUCCAAAUACAAUCCUAAAGACCAACUUUAUUUACACAUUGGCCUGAAACCCCGAGUUCGUGAUCACUAUCGAGCAACCAAAGUUGCUUUCUGGUUGGAGCUGGUACCACACCUUCACAACCUGAAUGAAAUAUUUCAGUAUGUUUCCACCACAACUAAAGUCCCCCCUCCUGACAUGACCUCAUUUCCGUAUGUGACCCGGCGUUCUCCUGGGAAAUUAUGGCCAGCCACCAAACGCCCAGCAAUGACACCUGCCAACAAUCCCAAACACUCGAAAGACACCCAUAAAACAGCUCCAGAGGAUACCACAGUUCUGAUAGAAAACAAGAGGGAUUACUCCACAGAGCUGAGCGUCACCAUUGCUGUGGGGGCCUCCUUGCUGUUCCUCAAUAUUUUAGCUUUUGCUGCGUUAUAUUACAAGAAGGACAAGCGGCGUCAUGAGACUCACAGGCGCCCCAGCCCCCAGAGGAACACCACCAACGACAUAGCACACAUACAAAAUGAGGAGAUCAUGUCCUUGCAGAUGAAGCAGCUAGAACAUGACCACGAGUGUGAAUCGCUGCAGGCCCAUGACACACUGAGACUCACCUGUCCGCCUGACUACACGCUCACUUUGAGAAGGUCCCCAGAUGACAUCCCGCUAAUGACACCCAACACCAUAACCAUGAUUCCAAAUACAUUAACAGGAAUGCAGCCUUUGCAUACUUUCAACACUUUCAGUGGAGGACAAAACAGUACAAAUUUGCCCCAUGGACAUUCGACCACUAGGGUAUAGCUCAGCCCUUCCCCAUCUACCCUCACAAGCCACUUGGAAGAAAGAAAAAAGAAAAAAAAAAAAGAAAAAAAAGAAGAGGAAAAAGUUAUAUACCAUCCAUUGAACACCUUGUCAAAAUGUAAAGUAAAAAUAAGUAAAAGAGAAGGACAGUCAUUAUUUUCUUACUGAUCCUUCCCACAGAAACUCACUGAUGUUAAAGAUCAACUACAAACCCUGUGAAAUGUGAAAAGUGUACAUUGCUGUUACAAUACUGCUUUAAGAUCUCAGCCACUUUGAUUGAAAGUUGGGGCCAGAAGAAGUGAUUUAAAAUGGUGUUGUUAAGUGUAACAAGCAAAGCAGAGUCUUCUGGAAGACAGAGCCAGUGACUGUACAGAUUUACAUAAGCUUUUGCUCUGAAGAUCCACACACAAAUACAACUGAGGGAUAGAUGAGAAGAUAACUUGUGUAUUUAAACUCACUUGGUGAAAAUAACUUCCCACCUGCAAAAAUUCUGUCGCAGAAUGUAGACCUCAGUUGUUCUUCAGAAAAAAAGAAAAAUUCCUAUUCAUCUGUAAAAAAUGAGGUUACAGGAAUGUGAGUAAAAACAAGUUAUGCAGAAUGGACAAAGGCGAAUCAAGAGGACGUCAGGAGCUGCAGAAGAAUUGUGGCUGUUGAUUAAUCAAGGACACAUGAGGAAGAGACAGGAAUGGUUUGAGGCUGGACCAACUGAACUCGAAAAAAAGUAUAUACCAGAAACCAGGAAAAUUACCAGAAAAUCCAUAAUACUGAGAAUAAAAGUUCAGAAAAGAGUGCACAUGACAAAGACACAACGCCAGACUGCCAAGCUGUGUUUACAUUACUGGUUUUGUUUGGUUCAGGAAUGUACUGUUAAAGGAAAUAUGCCAAUCCCCAUUUAUUAAAUUUCCUCACAAACGGAGCUUUGUUGUGCAUUGCAAGCAGUCUUGGAACAGGUGAGAUGGAUUCCUUUUGCAGGCAUAUACUGGAAGAGGUGAUCCAGAAAUGCCGCCCAUGCCUCCAAGCAAACCACUGGCAUUUGUGGAUGCAAGCCAUUCUGCAACACUUCCCCACAGCCCUGGCAUCAGCCCCUGUCCCUGUCCUAUUUAACAGACUAGCAAUUUAGCAAUAUGGCCUCUGGCAUACAAAUGGCAGUCUUUUCCCACUGCAGCAAGGCUAAUUGAUCCUGUUGUCCAAGUUCAGUUUAUAGUGCAAUGCUUCUGAUUUCAAUCCCAAAAUGCAUACUUAACUGCCAAGUUCUAAAACCAUUUGUAAAACACUUGCUCAUUUUUAAAAUUCUGCUCACAAUUAUGAAAAAGGGAAUGUCCCUCUCUUGACUUUGUAGAUUAUAUUGAUGAAAGGAUAUUUCUUUUUAAAAUAAAGCAAGCACAAACUUAAUACAAAAAAAAAAAAAAAAUUCUGCUACUAGUGGUUUAAGGACUCUGCAAUGCAAUGGAAAUUUAGUUUUGUCCACAUAAAAAACUGAAAUUAUUUCAAAAAUGUUUUUGUGGGAAAAUAUGUACCCCUGGUAUUAUGGUAUAUGUUCCUAACAUUGACCUAAAAUGCCAAACAUUUGAAGAUGUUCGGAGUGAACAUAUCCAACAACAUUAAAAAACAAAUAAAGAACCCAAAACAAACAAAAGAACUUCACAAUUUUAAAGGGGUUUUAUCUUUUGAAUGCUCCAUUUGACUUUAAUCCUUUUGCACUGUAAAAUCUAGGCACUGAAUAACAUAAUUUAUUUGGAAAUGCUAUUAGAAUCACUUUGGCAAUUAAUUUCAUUACAAAAUAUGGGGGAAUUUAUCAGGAAUUUCAGUGUGAUUUCAUGGUUUUUCUCUUCUUAUACUUUCUAAAUAAAUAUUACAGUCCUAGGCAGUAGAUUUUUCACACCACUGUGCAAAAAAGACAGACAGGUAUGUUUCUGGUCUAUUUUUUGUACCCGACAAAGUAAGGAUUAGGUGUCAAAGCUAGGCUUUUUAUUAUUUAAUCUUGGCUAUUACAGUAAAAAGCCCCUGUAUUAACUAGGAAAGGGACACAACAUCCUUUUCAUACUUCCAUGAUAGUUCUCUUAUCACAUCGAGAGAACUCAUAUCUCAUCAUGUACUGCAUUGCCUAAAUUUUGAAGUUUUCUCAAUUUAAAGGCAUGUAAGAACAUCUCUCUUUCUUUUCACAAGUUAAAUAGCAAAAUAUUCUUUGAACAAAAAGCCAAAACAAACAAAAAAACCCAACCCAAAAUGUCUACACAUUUAUGGGGGACAAAUCCAUAGAAGGCACCCUAAUCUCAGAGAAAAUGAAAUUUUCACCUAAAACUGAGUCUGAUCCACAUCACAUGUGGCAGCCAGCAAUAUAAAGACAGGUUUUCAAUGGACUUCAGGAGUGCAAAUUAAGAGAAUCAUUUUCAAAUUAGAUUCUUCUUGCUGAUUAAGAUAGAGAUUAAUAUUGAUUAAAAUAAAAGUUUGAAUAUGCUAUUUUUAGGAUACUGAAAAAAUAAUUUUUAAGCUAAUGAAUAAUUUACUGAAUAAUUAAACUUUUAAAGGAUCUGAGAAUUUCCUGUACUUUUGAAACUUCAGAAGAAAUAAUUUCUAGGAAAUCACUCAUCAGUUUAAAGAAUCAAACUAACACUGGAUACAUACAGUUACCAUGUCUUACAGUCUUAGUAAAAUUGCAUGAAUUAAAACUGAAUUACACUGAUACUUGGUAAAAAAACAACAACAACAACAACAACAAAAACCUGUAGUAAUAUAGCUUCAUUGAGUUUUUAAUUCAGUUGUGAAUGAGGAAGGCAAAGCAUCAAAUUAUCUUGAUUAAGAGAAAUGUCUUAUGUUUCAUUUUAGCAAAUCUGUCUCUCCAUGCAAGAUUUUAUGAAUACAAGGGGUGAAAAUGUGAUUUACAUAAAGUAAAUUUAAAUCAAGCAACAAAAUUAAACAGAUGUACCCUACUAACACCAAGCAUAAAUUAAAGAAUAAUGGGAUAGAGAAUGGAGAGUGUUAGGGCAGUUCUAUCACUCUGGAGUUAUUCAGCUGUUUAGCAGAAAAAGAAGAACAGAAAAAUACAAAACGAUAGUAAUUCUUAGGGAGAAGAGACAUCUAUGGAGGAGAGAGGAGAAAGAGGUAUGACACUGGGCUCUGAGAAAGAGAAGCAGAAAAGGUGAAGGACUGUGGUCUAAAGUUCGUAAAUUCAGAGAUAGAGAUGAUGUAGGAACUGAGAGGGCAAGAUUGACUUGAUGUUCAAGUAAAGAAUUAAUUUUCAAUAAUGGAAAUCAAGUGACUAAUGAACGUCUGAUAUUUUUUUCAGAUAACUGUAAACAAUUAAAAUUAUGUAUUUGCAGAAGGUGAAAAAAAUCACAAUAAUGGCCAGCUCUGAUAGGAACAGGAAGCUGAAUCUUUAAAGGCUAGAGGCUCUAAGAUAUACAAGUUCAUGCAGAGCAGGACAAGAACUGCACUGUCUGGCUAUUUUUAAGUAAAUUUAUAUCCACAGUGGUUUUCCCUGGCACCAAGCAUAAAGUGUGAUCAGUAAUGCACAGACUUCAUCUAGAAGACCACUCUGAGUGUGCAUGGUCUUCAGCAGAACAAGGUAGUAGUCCAUUACACCAAGAGUAAUUGAAAUGGCUAUGAGAAUUUUUGGGAGAGAAAUCAAAAAUAGAAGCUAAAGUCAUGGACUGCCUGUAUCAAUUAUUUCAGAAGCAGCAUUCUGUGAGCUCAGUGUUUGUGCUGAGACUUUACAAUGGAAAAAAAAAUAACCUCCAGUUGGGACAGGGAGCAAAGAUAGAAAAUAACUAUGACAUAAAAUCUCAGAAUAGGUGAAAGCAAGGUUUACAUUUAUGGGGUAAAUAGUCAUGCAUCACAAAACAGAAUAAUGAAAUAGCAUAGGAGACAUGAUGAUGGAGAUAACUAUUAGAAAAUAGUAGAUCCAAAAAGAAGAGAAAAGUAGAAAUAAAUAGAACAGCAGUAGAUAAACCAUGAGGCUGAAAAAAGUUCCUUCAUUCUUUCUCUUACAUUUAGGUACAAAUGUUGUACAAAUGUUACAUAGAGGUGUAUAACCUCUGUAUAAUAAAACUAUAUGAGAUGUAUGUACUAAUUGUAAUAUUAAUGGUCAGCAGAGGCUGGUGAAGAGAAAAUAUUAUGAGAAGGUGCAAAUGUAAUAAUAUUGUGCAAAAAUGUAUACACACUGUUUUGGUUAUUUCUUCUUGUUUCUUCUGGUAACUCAUGGGCUUUAGUGGCAUAUGGGUGAGGUUGAUGACUCCACAAGUGCACACUUUUCUACUGAAAAUGUGAGUGACUGUAACCAGAAGAUGUAAAAGGAAAUUUUGUUUUCCCUAGAAAAUAAGAUAGUGUGUUCUACUCAGAGUUAUUCUUCUAAACAUUCAGAAUACUUUAUCGAGUUAU